CCUACGGGAGGCAGCAGUGGGGGAUAUUGCACAAUGGGGGGAACCCUGAUGCAGCGACGCCGCGUGUGGGAAGACGGUCCUCUGGAUUUUAAACCACUUUCCCCAGGGACGAAGAUGACGGUACCUGGGGAGGAAGCUCCGGCUAACUACGUGCCAGCAGCCGCGGUAAUACGUAGGGAGCGAGCGUUGUCCGGAAUUACUGGGUGAAAAGGGAGCGUAGGCGGGGAUGCAAGUUGGGUGUCAAAACUACCGGCUCAACUGGGAGUCGCACUCAAAACUGCAGCUCUUGAGUGAAGUAGAGGCAGGCGGAAUUCCUAGUGUAGCGGUGAAAUGCGUAGAUAUUAGGAGGAACACCAGUGGCGAAGGCGGCCUGCUGGGCUUUUACUGACGCUGAGGCUCGAAAGUGUGGGGAGCAAACAGGAUUAGAUACCCUUGUAGUC
RNAcentral lists this ribosomal RNA (440 nucleotides) under uncultured bacterium. Its description in RNAcentral is "partial 16S ribosomal RNA". It matches the Rfam family "Bacterial small subunit ribosomal RNA", at positions 338 to 795 of the family's 1533-position model. The record is from RNAcentral.